UUAUCUUUUACCAGAAUAUUCAAAAACCAAAGAAAGAAAAAAAAAUAUGGGGGCUUUGUUUCGACGCUUGGUGUUAGAGUUGAAAACAGAAGGUUUUAAUCUGCUUUUGUCAGCCCAAUCGAUAACCAGCUGCAUCGUUCUAUAUAUAUACCAUAGUAUAACAGUGCUACCAACGUAUUAGUCGAAAUACAGGUUUUGUCAAUUGCUGCUUACUUUAUCGACCGAGCAAGUAUUUGAGUUAUCAACCAACAGCAUUUAUUCGAAGGUAUUGUCGUUCUAUACUGAAGUAAACACUCUCUUCAAAAGCAUAAAGUAAAUCAUAAUACACAACGGCUUUGUGCGUUCAGCUGGCUUUGUUAUUAAUAAUUAAUUAUCUUAAUUAUGGACCGUGCGUAUAACGAGUUAUAGAAUAUAUUGGAUAGAUUGAAACAUUCUAUGUUCAAUUGUGAAGAUUAUAUUUAAGAAUAAUAAACGCUAAUUUGGUACAAAAUCUA
This is a long non-coding RNA of Vespa crabro (European hornet), 494 nucleotides long. RefSeq lists it as uncharacterized. NCBI's taxonomy places the organism in Eukaryota, Metazoa, Arthropoda, Insecta, Hymenoptera, Vespidae. The record is from RefSeq and is a predicted model, not a curated record. The transcript is spliced from 2 exons.